Non-coding RNA from Mycena rebaudengoi, 93 nucleotides. The record is from the annotation of a GenBank genome assembly. Lineage: Eukaryota; Fungi; Basidiomycota; Agaricomycetes; Agaricales; Mycenaceae.
GGCCUGGUGGUGUAGUUGGAAACAUGUCCUCAAAUCAUGGAUAUAUUGUGAAUUGAUUGGAGGAAGUCCCUUGUUCAAAUCAAGGUCAGGCCG